GCCUGGGUGGCUUAGUUGGUUAAGUGUCUGACUUUGGCUCAGGUCAUGAUCUCAGUUUGUGAGUUCAAGCCCCACGUUGGGCU
Molecule: transfer RNA, 83 nt
Filed under: Felis catus (domestic cat)
Lineage: Eukaryota; Metazoa; Chordata; Mammalia; Carnivora; Felidae
Also listed under: 2 other names
Rfam family: tRNA
About the family: Transfer RNA (tRNA) molecules are approximately 80 nucleotides in length. Their secondary structure includes four short double-helical elements and three loops (D, anti-codon, and T loops).
Source: Rfam by way of RNAcentral